RNAcentral lists this ribosomal RNA (310 nucleotides) under uncultured bacterium. Its description in RNAcentral is "partial 16S ribosomal RNA". It matches the Rfam family "Bacterial small subunit ribosomal RNA", at positions 503 to 807 of the family's 1533-position model. The record is from RNAcentral.
AAGAGACAGCAGCCGCCGCGGGAAUACGGAGGGUGCAAGCGUUAAUCGGAAUUACUGGGCGUAAAGCGCACGCAGGCGGUUUGUUAAGUCAGAUGUGAAAUCCCCGAGCUUAACUUGGGAACUGCAUUUGAAACUGGCAAGCUAGAGUCUUGUAGAGGGGGGUAGAAUUCCAGGUGUAGCGGUGAAAUGCGUAGAGAUCUGGAGGAAUACCGGUGGCGAAGGCGGCCCCCUGGACAAAGACUGACGCUCAGGUGCGAAAGCGUGGGGAGCAAACAGGAUUAGAUACCCGCGUAGUCCCUGUCUCUUAUAC